This is a long non-coding RNA of Contarinia nasturtii (swede midge), 709 nucleotides long. RefSeq lists it as uncharacterized. The transcript is spliced from 3 exons. The record is from RefSeq and is a predicted model, not a curated record. NCBI's taxonomy places the organism in Eukaryota, Metazoa, Arthropoda, Insecta, Diptera, Cecidomyiidae.
AAUUGGGAUUGCUUGGCAUUGCUUGGAGUCGACUCCAAAAAAUGUGGCUUGAAAAUUUUGUGUUACCGCAUAAUUUGCGAGACGUUUCAAAUAUAACAGCGAAGGUCCAACGAAUGUUUUUUCGUUUUGUAUAGCUUCGAUCAGAGUUUUAUCUUCCUGUUUAAUCAAUUUAAUACCACCUCGAUCCCAACUGUGCUCAACUCUUUUGUGCUUGUAAAUGUUUCCCGAAAUAUUCUGCUGGCAUAUAUCGCACCAAACCAUUUUGCGUUUCCUGUUUAAAUUAUAAAAUAAUUGUUGAUAUAAAAAAUGUUAAACUGAGAGUGAAGAGCGAUUGAGGUUAGAAUAUCACGAAAAUGUGCAUAUGAUUCUAAACGUUCUAAACUCAUUUAUUGGUUUUUUUCUCUCUGCUUUACAUUUCUUGUUACUGUAAAAUCACUUUUCAACAAUUUAUGAAAUCGUAUUCAAUCUAAACACAAUAAAAUCACAAAAUAACUUACAGUUUGCACACAAAAACUAUCGCAAAAUUGCGUUAUGAAAAUAAUGUGUUUACGGUUUUGACAGAUUAUUAAUGUCGACGUAUACGUAACCACAGCUGUCAUAAUAUAUACGUAACUUCGUAUUUUCACAUUGUGGAGAAUUUUUUCUGUUUCAUUAAUAAUGAAUCAUUAUUUUCUGUUCCCAUAGAAUGGUAUGGCGCUCAUUAGCGAGA